UGCCAGCCGCCGCGGUAAUACGGAUGGUGCGAACGUUGUUCGGAAUCACUGGGCUUAAAGCGCACGUAGGCGGUUCGGCAAGUCCGGUAUGAAAUCCCCCGGCUCAACCGGGGAACGGUGCUGGAUACUGCCGGACUGGAGUGAGGUAGGGGGGUGUGGAACUCCGGGUGGAGCGGUGAAAUGCGUAGAUAUCCGGAGGAACGCCGGUGGUGAAAACGAUGCCCUGGGCCUCUACUGACGCUGAGGUGCGAAAGCUGGGGGAGCAAACGGGAUUAGAUA
This 279-nucleotide ribosomal RNA is filed under the name uncultured bacterium. RNAcentral's name for it is "partial 16S ribosomal RNA". It matches the Rfam family "Bacterial small subunit ribosomal RNA", at positions 506 to 784 of the family's 1533-position model. The record is from RNAcentral.